GCUUCUAUGGUCUAGUGGUUAUGACUCCGGAUUUUGAGCAUUCGCUGAGUCUUCCGGCAACCCCGGUUCGAAUCCGGGUAGGAGCU
Molecule: transfer RNA, 86 nt
Organism: Aspergillus fumigatus Af293
Lineage: Eukaryota; Fungi; Ascomycota; Eurotiomycetes; Eurotiales; Aspergillaceae
Rfam family: tRNA
About the family: Transfer RNA (tRNA) molecules are approximately 80 nucleotides in length. Their secondary structure includes four short double-helical elements and three loops (D, anti-codon, and T loops). Further hydrogen bonds mediate the characteristic L-shaped molecular structure. tRNAs have two regions of fundamental functional importance: the anti-codon, which is responsible for specific mRNA codon recognition, and the 3' end, to which the tRNAs corresponding amino acid is attached (by aminoacyl-tRNA synthetases). tRNAs cope with the degeneracy of the genetic code in two manners: having more than one tRNA (with a specific anti-codon) for a particular amino acid; and 'wobble' base-pairing, i.e. permitting non-standard base-pairing at the 3rd anti-codon position.
Source: Rfam